RNAcentral lists this long non-coding RNA (256 nucleotides) under Homo sapiens (human). RNAcentral describes it as "HSALNT0357425". Lineage: Eukaryota; Metazoa; Chordata; Mammalia; Primates; Hominidae. The record is from RNAcentral.
AGUCAAAGAAGAUGGCCACAGAGACAGCAGCGUGGUCAGAGUGGUAGGAGCCAGCCAUCGGCGAGAGCUGCUUCGUGCCUGGCCUGCUGGGUGCUAGAGCCUGUGGCCCACUGGCUUGCCUCACUGUGGUUGGUGGUGGCAGUGACAGAGACUGCAGCACGACCAGAGUGGCUUUUCUGGCUUUGCCCGCCCAGCUGCUCCAUGCCAGGAGGAGGAGGAGACACCUAGAGCCUGCGACACCACGACUCGCCUCGCU